GACCGAGGGCGCAAACGUUGUUCGGAAUCACUGGGCGUAAAGCGCGUGUAGGCGGCCAGGCAAGUCGGAUGGGAAAGCCCAGGGCUCAACCCUGGAAGUGCGCCCGAAACUGCAUGGCUAGAGUCCUGGAGAGGAAGGCGGAAUGCUUGGUGUAGAGGUGAAAUUCGUAGAUAUCAAGCGGAACACCGGUGGCGAAGGCGGCCUUCUGGACAGUGACUGACGCUGAGACGCGAAAGCGUGGGGAGCAAACAGG
Molecule: ribosomal RNA, 253 nt
Filed under: uncultured bacterium
Lineage: Bacteria
Description: partial 16S ribosomal RNA
Rfam family: Bacterial small subunit ribosomal RNA
Source: RNAcentral